Molecule: non-coding RNA, 95 nt
Filed under: bovine gut metagenome
Description: THF riboswitch
Rfam family: THF (Tetrahydrofolate) riboswitch aptamer
About the family: THF riboswitch presents a pseudoknot that joins P1-P2 and the loop of P3 and two THF binding.
Source: RNAcentral
GCAAAGUAGAUGCUCAUGCGUUAAGUGAUCGGAGAACGGGAAGUUGUCUCCGAUACGAAGAGAUCCUCUCGCGGUGUGAGUGUCGCAUUCCGUUG